This 230-nucleotide long non-coding RNA is filed under the name Prunus persica (peach). Its description in RNAcentral is "long non-coding RNA (PPER_LNC008068)". Lineage: Eukaryota; Viridiplantae; Streptophyta; Magnoliopsida; Rosales; Rosaceae. The record is from RNAcentral.
GAUUCCACUCAAAACUUCCAAAAUGACUCCUUCCACAACAUUAUGAUGUUCCCCAAGUUUUGGACCCAAUCCGAUAUCGAUUGUUCCAUAUGAAGUUGGACAAUUCAGGUUCAUAUGAAGUUCGUUCCGAAACGGAGUGGUUAGAGUAUUGCAUAGUUCUAGAGAUUGAAUUUCACCCAAAACCAACCAAAUGACUCCUUCCAGCAUAUCUUGAUGUUCCCCAAGUUUUG